Molecule: long non-coding RNA, 510 nt
Organism: Lepisosteus oculatus (spotted gar)
Lineage: Eukaryota; Metazoa; Chordata; Actinopteri; Semionotiformes; Lepisosteidae
Source: RefSeq, a predicted model, not a curated record
UCGUGUUUAGACAUCUGUACAUUCGUACGGAUGUGACCUAGUGCUGAAUAGCUGUCUGUUAUGCCAAAUCCACUAGAUGGCGCUGCCUCUUAGAUCGCGGUGUGUCUCAGUUCCUGAUCGUUAAUUUCAGCGUUCUGCGCAGUGACUUACAGGUUAAAAAAAACGACAUUUCUGCAGAGUUGUAACGUUCUCAGUGAGCGUAGAGCCGAGAGGUGACCUAUUUCUGCACAAGCUGCGUGGUGGCGAGAGCCGCUUCCCAGCGCGGUGACGUCACCGCCCUUCCCUGUGGAUGGCAGGGCCCGCAGCCGCCGGGCUGACGGGAGAUUUCCCUUUGGCUCAAGAGGCUGGGUCCCUGUCGAGUCCCCGACAGUGGGGGGGGGGCGAGGGCGCCCAUGUGAACUCCGAAGAGUUACAAUAUCAUUAUAUGUCAUUUCUUCUGUUUUUUAAAAAAAAAUAUUUUCCAAACUAACAAAACAGAUCAGACACCAUACUUGCCAGGAAAUAAAGCAC